Molecule: long non-coding RNA, 240 nt
Organism: Alosa alosa (allis shad)
Lineage: Eukaryota; Metazoa; Chordata; Actinopteri; Clupeiformes; Clupeidae
Exons: 2
Source: RefSeq, a predicted model, not a curated record
CGCAGCCUUACAACACUGUUCAGUACAGAUCUUCGAGUCACGGUACAAUCAGUCACACAUCAAAAUUAACAAUGCUGAUGAAUACGACAAUGUUGCUGAACUGGCAGCGUGCAGUUGGACUUAACCCUUAAAGGAGUACCAUCACACCUACAACAUUCUACAACAGUCUAUUGUCUAUUGCCUGGUGAUUAUAAUAUUAGGAGUUGUAUGUUGCUCGACACAAUAAAGCCAUUAAAUUCA